CGUCCCUUUUGGUUCAGAACAACUGAGGGAAACUUGAGCAAAUACCGGAUAAKCCCUUACGGGGAAAGAUUUAUCGCCGAAAGAUCGGCCCGCGUCUGAUUAGCUAKUUGGUGAGGUAAUGGCUCACCAAGGAGACUAUCAAUAUSUGGUCUGAGARGAUGAUCACCCACUUUGGGACUGACACACGGCCCACACUCCUACGGGAGGCAGCAGUGGGGAAUAUUGGACAGUGGGCGCAAGCCUGAUCCAGCCGUGCCGCGUGAGUGAUGARGGCCCUAGGGUUGUAAAGCUCUUUUGUGCGGAAAGAUAAUGASKGUACCGCAAGAAUAACCCCCGGCUAACUUCGUGCCAGCACCCGCGGUAAUACAAAGGGGGCUAGCGUUGCUCAGAAUCWCUGGGCGUAAGGGGUGCGUACGCGGGUCUUUAAGUCAGGGGUGAAAUCCUGGAUCUCACCUCCAGAACUGCCUUUGAUACUGAAGAUCUUGAGUUCGGGAGAGGWGAGUGGAACUGCGAGUGUAGAGGUGAAAUUCAUAUAUAUUCACAAGAACACCAGUGGCRAGGGCGGCUCASUGGCCCRAUACUGACUCUGAGGCACAAAAGCGUGGGGAGCAAACGAGAUUAUAUACCCUGGUASUCCACCCCRUA
RNAcentral lists this ribosomal RNA (645 nucleotides) under Hyphomicrobiales bacterium. Its description in RNAcentral is "Rhizobiales bacterium partial 16S ribosomal RNA". It matches the Rfam family "Bacterial small subunit ribosomal RNA", at positions 125 to 804 of the family's 1533-position model. The record is from RNAcentral. Lineage: Bacteria; Pseudomonadati; Pseudomonadota; Alphaproteobacteria; Hyphomicrobiales.